UCUCCGAGCCCAAGCUUUUUACUCCUAGCGUUGGAAUUAUAUCCUUGUAGCUUACCCCUCUAAUUACUAUUGUUUUGUUUUAAACAACCCAAGGUAAUAUGUGAAAGCUCAAUCAAUUCCUAGUGGUCCAUCCACUCAAGUGUAAAAAAAAAAUAAAAAUUUCAAGUUGCUGCUACUGUCAUGGCUGUCAAAUAUUUCAUCGGAUAAUGAAGGUUCCAGGACGUCGGCAACUCCCACAAGUCUCCCCAUUAUUGACAUACCUAACCUUAAUUUCCUGUGUGCCUGGAACUCUGGACUGAGCCAUGGCUAAAUAUGGUGCAAAAUUUGGUGGUUCCUGUAGACCUGAAGAAGAAGAAAACGUUGGGAGCAGAAAUAUCCCCUUCCACAAACGGUGCCACCCUUGGCAUACCAGCUGUAACCUAUUGCAGAGGUCAAGGAAGGGGAGCUUUUUAGAGUUGCAAUGGUGGACUGUGAUGGAGGUAUAAUAAAAAAAAACGACUCCGCGGAUGAUGUCAAGCAUGCUGAUCCAUACAUGGCACAAUGUUCAGAGUGUUAGAAGCACAAGUUUUCUUUUGAACAUCAAGGGUAACCAUGGCAAAACUUCAGCACAUGGUUACCUAUAUUAAGUCACUAGAACAUGGGUGUCUUCAGCUUCUACUGUAUGCUUCUAGUGGUUUUUUCUUCCCUGGCUGCAGUGAGUAUAUAGUUUAAAUUCCUUUUGACAUGUACAGAGAAAGGCACUCUAAAGAAAUGCCCUAAUGAUUUUCAAGAAAUCAUUUCUGUCUUUCACUAGCAAUUUUGGUUGACAUUGGUUAAUUGCCUGUUAGCUCGUCUUCUCUUCUUCUGAGAAACUUCUAAAACCUGUUGCCCUUAGCAUUUUUCACAUUUGCAAGUGCACCUUAGUAUGUUUGUCUUGUAGUUAAACGAAAAUGGGGACCAUUUGGAAGGAUUGUCCCUCCCAUUUGUCAGCCAGUAAUUAUAUGGGAGUUAACCUCCUUCUCCAAUGGAUGCCAUUGGCUAGACUGACAAUUCUGCAACAAGUUUCUCCAUGAUCUACCACUCCCAGUGGUAUUCCAAGACUAAUAAAAGCCAAUGGACUUGAUGAAGAAGCGCUGGGUGCAAACUCUACAACUAUACACCCUUGGUUGCAGGGUAGAGGUUGCGAACUGGAGAGAAGGCCCCGUUAUCUCAGUGGACCAAUAAGAUUUGUGGACAAAGAUGGCAUACCAGCCAAGCAAGGGCGACCUUCUGGCAGUGAAAAUAUGUAACCUGGGUCCUCUGCCUGGGGAUGAAUGAGACUAUACCGCAACAUUUGAAAGAGAAAAUGGAGGAAGUUGUUUGACCGACCAUUUUCCUUGUGUACCUAAAGCUAUUUGGUGCCUGGAAGGGAUUUUUGCCCACUCUCCUCAUGUAGCCGGUGAAUUUUCUUUCCAUUACCCUAUGUUAAAAUCAAUUAAUCAUUUCAAAGUAUCUUAAAUUAAGUUACUUCUCCAACGUUUCUAUAAUCAUGCAUAAAUAUCGAAAACAGUUCAGUCGCUAACGAAGUUUUAUAGACAUAGCCAGGGGGGGCGGAGAUUUUCAGGUUUGCCUCACCCUGGAGUGAUUGGAACUGCACCAUCAAUGGAACUCCAGAAUAUUGGAAUGAGAGAGAAAGAGAAGUUGCAGAAAAUAGCUCAAGGUCCCAAGAACUAUGUGAAGUUUUGCAUUCGCGACCAUUGGCAAACCUGCCAUGGACAAAAAGCUGCCUAUUGGGGAAGGUACUAAAAUCAAUGGUACCUCUGAAUGGGAAAAGACAGCUAAGGCGGCUGCAACGACUGUUCCAGUGAGAGAAAUGGAGGAAAUUGUGGACAUCAAAAACUUUAGCCCUGUUUCAAAAAGUAUAUCUUCCUGUGUUUGUUGAAGGAGUGAAUCUCAGCAUGCACUUUUCUGAAGGCGAUGGCGAGGUAUCCUUUUUGCAGGGCAAUUGAGAUGAGUGGUUUUCUAGAGCUUAAGUACGUUUUAAACCUCAUAUCUGAGCAUCCUGGCAUACAGACGCUAGUCAAGAUGUUUCUACACAUUUCCCUCAAUACAUUUUGAUAGAAGUUUUUGAUAUCUACAUCUCAUCCAGCAAACAUGUCCUGUUGGAUGUAGUGCAUUCGAAGAUAAUUUCAUGACUUAGAAUAAGUAAAGGAGUCUGCUUCAUGCUUUUGAUAAGAGUACCA
RNAcentral lists this small RNA (2201 nucleotides) under Theobroma cacao (cacao). RNAcentral describes it as "sRNA Tc01v2_g006140". Lineage: Eukaryota; Viridiplantae; Streptophyta; Magnoliopsida; Malvales; Malvaceae. The record is from RNAcentral.